Molecule: ribosomal RNA, 116 nt
Filed under: Streptococcus ferus
Lineage: Bacteria; Bacillati; Bacillota; Bacilli; Lactobacillales; Streptococcaceae
Source: RNAcentral
UUAAGUGACGAUAGCCUAGGAGAUACACCUGUUCCCAUGCCGAACACAGCCGUUAAGCCCUAGAACGCCUGAAGUAGUUGGGGGUUGCCCCCUGUGAGAUAGGGUAGUUGCUUAGC